AGGGCCACUAACCUCUAGACCAACAAGCCAGUCAAAGGACUUUCAAGUCUGAACUUUUCAAGUAAGAACUUGAGUAAGCCCAGCAAAUAUUUGUCCAUAAUACACAAAUAAACAGUUUCCGAACAAAACUUCUCGUGUUAAAUCCUACUUGAAACCAGACCAUAGACUCGAUACAUUUGAAAUUUCAUUUUACCGAUAUGAAGGAUUUUACUAUUUGACGUUCAAUUUUCCAAUCAUCCCGUCAGCAUUUCAAUAUGAAUAUCAAAAUUUCUGGUGCACUCAAAAGAAUUUACACAGUUUGUUUCAGAGGCAAUCAGUUUAGUCAUAGAAAAUGUCAUGGCCAAGUGCCACGUGUGCAGUCGUACCCCAACCAGGACACCAUCAAGUUAGCGACGGUUCGCAUCACGCCAACGCUGAAGCUACUUUCCUUUAGAGUCUCCAAGAACUACCUCUACUUCAGCUUUGCGCGACCCGAUACCGACCUAUUGGAGUUCAAUGAACUAUGUAGCGAAGAAGGGUAAAUCUAGACCUUAGAACCAGUAUUGUUAUAGUAUGUGGGGAGAAAAAACUUCAAGUGUUAAUUAUAUGGAUUCAGCUAAAGAACGGGUGAAGUGGCCGUUUUGAAGCCAGGGUCUCGGUACUGAAGCACGGGUUGUUAAGACACGUGUACAUUUUAGUGAAUCAUAAAAUAAUUUUAAUGUAGCAUUUCAACUGCCGUUUCAACUUUCGGAAUUUUUUUCAAUAGAUUUUUCUUCCACUUUGUCUGUUUCUUUGACUGCUACUAAAGAAUCUAUAUCUUUAUUUAUACUUUGAAGAUCAUUUUUAAAACUCCCAAACGGACUAUAACAUUACUGUUCACUCGUAUUUAUGGUAAUAUUAAGUUUAACCUCGUGUGUCCUAUGAAUUGAGUCCAUGUGCCUGUUUUGUUUGUCGCACAAAGUAAAAUCGGUAAAUAUAUGUUCGUGUAAUGUUUUGUCUGUGUUAAUGUCAUGUAACAAUAAUGUCUCUUACGUAAGUGUAUUGUAAUGUCGGAAAAUAAAAUAAUUGGAAGUUA
Molecule: long non-coding RNA, 1054 nt
Organism: Trichoplusia ni (cabbage looper)
Lineage: Eukaryota; Metazoa; Arthropoda; Insecta; Lepidoptera; Noctuidae
Exons: 2
Source: RefSeq, a predicted model, not a curated record